GGGCCCGCACAAGCGGUGGAGUAUGUGGUUUAAUUCGAUGCAACGCGAAGAACCUUACCAGGGUUUGACAUCCUGCGAAUCUCCUGGAAACGGGAGAGUGCCUUCGGGAGCGCAGUGACAGGUGGUGCAUGGCUGUCGUCAGCUCGUGUCGUGAGAUGUUGGGUUAAGUCCCGCAACGAGCGCAACCCACGUCGUUAGUUGCCAGCAUUCAGUUGGGCACUCUAGCGAGACCGCCGGUGAUAAACCGGAGGAAGGUGUGGAUGACGUCAAGUCAUCAUGCCCCUUACAUCCUGGGCUACACACGUACUACAAUGCUACGGACAAAGGGCAGCAAACUCGCGAGAGCUAGCAAA
This 353-nucleotide ribosomal RNA is filed under the name uncultured bacterium. RNAcentral describes it as "bacterial SSU rRNA". It matches the Rfam family "Bacterial small subunit ribosomal RNA", at positions 917 to 1271 of the family's 1533-position model. The record is from RNAcentral.